This 253-nucleotide ribosomal RNA is filed under the name uncultured bacterium. RNAcentral describes it as "partial 16S ribosomal RNA". It matches the Rfam family "Bacterial small subunit ribosomal RNA", at positions 524 to 776 of the family's 1533-position model. The record is from RNAcentral.
GCCAGAGGAUGCAAGCGUUAUCCGGAAUGAUUGGGCGUAAAGCGCGUGUAGGCGGUCCGGUAAGUCCGCUGUGAAAGUCGGGGGCUCAACCCUCGGAUGCCGGUGGAUACUGUCGGGCUUGAGUACGGAAGAGGCGAGUGGAAUUCCUGGUGUAGCGGUGAAAUGCGCAGAUAUCAGGAGGAACACCAAUUGCGAAGGCAGCUCGCUGGGACGUUACUGACGCUGAGACGCGAAAGCGUGGGGAGCAAACAGG